Long non-coding RNA from Tachyglossus aculeatus (Australian echidna), 575 nucleotides. RefSeq lists it as uncharacterized. NCBI's taxonomy places the organism in Eukaryota, Metazoa, Chordata, Mammalia, Monotremata, Tachyglossidae. The transcript has 3 exons. The record is from RefSeq and is a predicted model, not a curated record.
CCCGGUCCCGGUCCGGUGCCGGGGGUCUAGGGCAGCGCCUGCGGGGAGGGACCGGCGGCGGGAGGGAAAGGCGUUGUCAUGGUUCCCGGCAUCUCCAUCCCCGCGGCGCUUCCAUAAUCCCCCCGCCCCCCGGGGCGGCAGGCGGGGGUCCUGGGGGUCCCGUCCGGUCCCGUCCGGCCCGGUCCCGCCUCCCGGCCCCCGGGAUGCGGGGACCGACGGGGCUGACGACACCCAAACCCGCAGCGGCCUUGCUCCUCCCCUCCUCCUCCUCCUCCGGGACGCCCGCCCUACAGAAACGCUGGGAGAAGUCACCUCGCUCACCUCUUCCGUGCCCUCUCCUUACUGAAAAUUUCGCCGCCGCCUUUAAACGCCGAAACCACCUGGCUGGAAAAAUCCUCUACAGGCCCUUCCGUGGCAAGCAUCCCCCCUCACUUCUCCCAGAUCAACCAACCAACGGUCCCAUCUCGUUAUGGACCAGACGCUUGCCACCCUUUCCUCAGUACCUUUCUUGCCCAAUCUGCUCUUCUCCAAAUAAUAAUUGUACUAAGCGCUGGGACGGAUACGAGCAAAUCGGG